RNAcentral lists this small RNA (491 nucleotides) under uncultured Sebacinales. Its description in RNAcentral is "eukaryotic LSU rRNA". It matches the Rfam family "Eukaryotic large subunit ribosomal RNA", at positions 104 to 601 of the family's 3401-position model. The record is from RNAcentral. Lineage: Eukaryota; Fungi; Basidiomycota; Agaricomycetes; Sebacinales.
AAGCUCAAAUUUUGAAUCUGGCGUCUCUGGCGUCCGAAUUGUAAUCUAGAGAAGUGUUUUCCGUGACGGACCGUGCACAAGUCUCCUGGAAUGGAGUGUCAUAGAGGGUGAGAAUCCCGUAUAUGGCACGGACUGCCGUUGCUCUGUGAUACACUCUCGACGAGUCGAGUUGUUUGGGAAUGCAGCUCUAAAUGGGUGGUAAAUGCCAUCUAAAGCUAAAUAUUGGCGAGAGACCGAUAGCGAACAAGUACCGUGAGGGAAAGAUGAAAAGCACUUUGGAAAGAGAGUGAAACAGUACGUGAAAUUGUUGAAAGGGAAACGCUUGAAGUCAGUCACGCCGUUCAGGAUUCAGCCUUGCUUCUGCUUGGUUUACUUCCUGUCGGGCGGGUCAACAUCAGUUUUGGUCGGAGGAGAAAGGCUUGUGGAAGGUAGCAGCUUGCUGUGUUAUAGCCACUUGUUGUAUACUUCGACUGGGACUGAGGACCGCAGCA